GUGGUCAUUGACUUCAGCCCACAUGGACUAAAAUUCUCCAUACAAAGAAGACUAGCACAAUCCCUGCACAAGAGUGAUAAGCAAAUUCAUGAAGUGUUUCAUUUUUUU
Small nuclear RNA from Trichosurus vulpecula (common brushtail), 108 nucleotides. Lineage: Eukaryota; Metazoa; Chordata; Mammalia; Diprotodontia; Phalangeridae. The record is from RefSeq and is a predicted model, not a curated record.